GAUGAAGAACGCAGCGAAAUGCGAUAAGUAAUGUGAAUUGCAGAAUUCAGUGAAUCAUCGAAUCUUUGAACGCACAUUGCGCCCCUUGGUAUUCCAUGGGGCAUGCCUGUUCGAGCGUCAUUUGUACCUUCAAGCCUUGCUUGGUGUUGGGUGUUUGUCUCGCCUCUGCGCGCAGACUCGCCUCAAAACAAUUGGCAGCCGGCGUAUUGAUUUCGGAGCGCAGUACAUCUCGCGCUUUGCACUCAGAACGACGACGUCCAAAAGUACAUUUUUACACUCUUGACCUCGGAUCAGGUAGGGAUACCCGCUGAACUUAAGCAUAUCAAAGCGGAGGA
This 335-nucleotide unclassified non-coding RNA is filed under the name soil metagenome. Its description in RNAcentral is "partial contains 5.8S ribosomal RNA, internal transcribed spacer 2, and large subunit ribosomal RNA". The stretch from base 1 to 120 matches the Rfam family "5.8S ribosomal RNA", at positions 35 to 154 of the family's 154-position model. The record is from RNAcentral.